UUGAAGGGGACCUUUUUGCAGUGUAAUAACACUAUAAGAAGUAUUGUAUUCAUUGUGAUUAUUCAUAGUUACAUGUUGUUAGUACAGGAUGUAACUGGUGGCAAUUCAGUCUGUAAUUACAGAGAAAGUUUGUUCCUACACUACAUGACUGCUCAUCUUACAUCUCAUUCCAAAAUCAUGGGCAUUAAUAUGGAGUUGGUCCUCCAUUUCCCCCAUUUGCUGCCCCUCCCGCAGUUCGGCGUUGCAAUUCAUCCCAAAGGUGUUUGAUGGCGUUGAGGUCAGGGCUCUGUGCAAGCCAGUCAUGUUCUUCCACACCAAUCUCGACAAACCAUUUAUGUAUGGACCUCGGUUUGUGCACGGGGGCAUUGUCAUGCUGAAACUGGAAAGGGCCUUCCCCAAACUGUUGCCACAAAGUUGGAAGCGCAGAAUAGUCUAGAAUGUCAUUGUAUGCUGUAGCAUUAAGAUUUCCCUUCACUCCAAUUUGCAUUCCGCCUCAACAGAUCCACAGAUGAUGCAAUCUCUAUUGCACUCAACAUUGCCCUUUCCCACGUGGACAAAAGGACACCUAUGUGAGAAUGCUGUUCAUUGACUACAGCUCAGCGUUCAACACCAUAGUGCCCUCAAAGCUCAUCACUAAGCUAAGGACCCUGGGACUAAACGCCUCCCUCUGCAACUGGAUCCUGGACUUCCUGACCGGCCGCCCCCAGGUGGUAAGGAUAGGGAACAACACAUCAGGUGUCCACGCUGAUCCUCAACACGGGGGCCCCUCAGGGGAGCGUGCUCAGUCCCCGCCUGUACUCCCUGUUUACUCAUGACUGCAUGGCCAAACACGACUCCCAACAGCAUCAUCAAGUUUCCCGAUGACACGACAGUGGUAAGCCUGCAAUGUUUGACUGUCUCGCUCUCCUUGAGCAAAGGUCUACUCGUCUCGCACACAUGAUGACGCGCAAACACAGACGCACUAAAAUGCCAAUCCAAUCUUGGCUGAAAUUAAUUUCCCAGAAGGCCAACUGGGUGGCGCAGCGGUCUAAGGCACUGCAUCGCAGUGCUAGCUGCGCCACUAGAGAUUCUGGGUUCGAGUCCAGGAUCUGUCGCAGACGGCCUAGACAUGGAGCGGCGUACAAUUGGCCCAGCGUCGUCUGGGUUUGGCAGGCAGGAAUGUCCUUGUCCCAUCGCGCACUAGUGACUCCUGUGGCGGGCCACUGUGGCGACUGUGCAUGCUGACACAGUCGCCAGGUGUACGGUGUUUCCUCCAACACAUUAGUGCGACUGGCUUCCGGAUUAAGUGGGCAUUGUGUCAAGAAGCAGUGCAGCUUGGUUGGAUUGUGUUUCUGAGGACGAACGUUCUCGACCUUCGCCUCUCACGAGUUCGUACAGGAGUUGCAGCGAUGAGACAAGACUGUAACUACUCCUACUCCAACAUGAAAAAGGGGUCAAAAAUAUUUUAUACAUUUAAAAAAAUAAUAAUAAUAAUUUCCAAGACUUUUCCAAAACGUUUUGAAUUGUAUUAUUUCCCAAAAUACACCCUUUUAAAAUUCCAUGACUUUCCUGGAUUUUCAUGACUACGAACUCUGUAGUACGAGGUCACUUUUAGGCAGGUCUGAAGCUGAAAAAGAAAGACAAUUAUUGCCUAUUUUACACCUAUUUUCUUGAUUUAGGGAUGACAGGUAGCCUUGAGGUUAGAGCAUUGGGUCAGUAACCGAAAGGUUGCUGUUUCCAAUCCCGGAGCCACCUAAUGUCACGACUUCCACCCAAGGUGACUCCACUGCCUGUUCGGGCGGCGCUCGGCGUCGCCAGUCUACUAGCUGCCACCGAUCCUUUUUCCUUUUCUUUUGGAUUCCCACAAGGUCUCAUACUCCAGGAUGGGAAAUGCUUACAAGAAGCAAACAGAAGAAGACAGACGUUGUCGAUUUCCAUUGUUACUUGUAAUGUUAAAAAGAAGAUGAAAAAUACCAUCCUUUUUUCUCUGAAAUAGCUAGCGAGCUAACUCGGCUACUCACCAUACACAUUUGAGUCAUCACUAUUAAAAUUGUUAUUUUAUGUUAUUGAGUAGGUCUAUACCUUUGUUUAUUUUUAAUUAAUCAAAUUAUUAAAACAACAAUAGACAUUCUUAUUAUUUUGUAAGAAAUGCAAGCAAUUUUUUACACGUUGCAAUAAAGUUAACUAAAGUAGAA
Long non-coding RNA from Oncorhynchus keta (chum salmon), 2174 nucleotides. RefSeq lists it as uncharacterized. The transcript is spliced from 2 exons. NCBI's taxonomy places the organism in Eukaryota, Metazoa, Chordata, Actinopteri, Salmoniformes, Salmonidae. The record is from RefSeq and is a predicted model, not a curated record.